UUAAAUUUAUAAAAUUAGGUAGUAAAGAAAUUUCUGAAACCUAAAGAAUUUGGCGGUAUUUUAAAUAAUUGGAGGAACCUGUUAUUUAAUUGAUAAUCCACAACAAAUCUUACCUAAAUUUUAUUUGUAUAUCGUCGUUUUGAUAAUAUUUAAAAAUAAUAAUCAAUUUUAAUAAAUUUUAAAAAUUCAGGUCAAGGUGCAGUAUAUUUAGGUUAUAAUGGGUUACAAUAUAAUUAUAUAUAAUGAAUAUAAACUUGAAAUUAUAUUGAAGGUGGAUUCAAAAGUAAGAUUAAAUUAAAAAGUUAGUCUGAUUAAUAAUUUAAAAUAUGC
Molecule: ribosomal RNA, 330 nt
Filed under: Paravaejovis spinigerus
Lineage: Eukaryota; Metazoa; Arthropoda; Arachnida; Scorpiones; Vaejovidae
Description: partial 12S ribosomal RNA
Source: RNAcentral